Molecule: ribosomal RNA, 271 nt
Filed under: uncultured bacterium
Lineage: Bacteria
Description: partial 16S ribosomal RNA
Rfam family: Bacterial small subunit ribosomal RNA
Source: RNAcentral
CACGGAGGGUGCGAGCGUUGUUCGGAAUCAUUGGGCGUAAAGCGCGUGUAGGCGGGUCCGCAAGUCGGGUGUGAAAUCCCAUGGCUUAACCAUGGAAUGGCGCCCGAAACUGCAGGUCUUGAGUACGGGAGGGGGAAGUGGAAUUCUUGGUGUAGGGGUGAAAUCCGUAGAUAUCAGGAGGAACACCGAUGGCGAAGGCAACUUCCUGGACCGAUACUGACGCUGAGACGCGAAAGCGUGGGGAGCAAACAGGAUUAGAAACCCUAGUAGU